This 252-nucleotide ribosomal RNA is filed under the name uncultured Bacteroidales bacterium. RNAcentral describes it as "partial 16S ribosomal RNA". It matches the Rfam family "Bacterial small subunit ribosomal RNA", at positions 524 to 776 of the family's 1533-position model. The record is from RNAcentral. Lineage: Bacteria; Pseudomonadati; Bacteroidota; Bacteroidia; Bacteroidales.
UACGGGGGAUGCAAGCGUUAUCCGGAUUUAUUGGGUUUAAAGGGUGCGCAGGCGGAAUGUCAAGUCAGCGGUAAAAUUUCGGGGCUCAACCCCGUCGUGCCGUUGAAACUGGCGUUCUUGAGUGAGCGAGAAGUAUGCGGAAUGCGUGGUGUAGCGGUGAAAUGCAUAGAUAUCACGCAGAACUCCGAUUGCGAAGGCGACCUGCUAGAACAUAACUGACGCUGAUGCGCGAAAGCGUGGGGAGCAAACAGG